GCUGGCAGCUAGCUCUCUGCAACUCUCACUCCUACUGAAGCUAAGCAGGGCUGAGCCUGGUUAGUACCUGGAUGGGAGACCACAUGGGAGAGCUAGGUUGCUGUUGGAA
RNAcentral lists this ribosomal RNA (109 nucleotides) under Danio rerio (zebrafish). The record is from RNAcentral. Lineage: Eukaryota; Metazoa; Chordata; Actinopteri; Cypriniformes; Danionidae.